AUGGUGUCAUUAUUGUAUUCAUUUAUAGAUGAAGAAUUUCAAGGAGACCAACUAACUUGGACCCACAGGCACAUAGCAAGGCAGCAAUGGAGCAGGGACUCAAAACCCUUCCAUCCAGCCCGGGGGCCUGCACUCCUCACCGCCACCCACAGGGCCUUAAUUUGGAAGGAAGGAAGUGGCUGUGCCUCUCCCUGGAAGACACAAGGAGCUUCUGCAGUCUCGACACAUUUCUUAUCCUUGGGUUACAGGGAUCUUCAAGGACUCAGUAAUUUUGAAGUUUGCUCCUUCCUUCAUGCUGGCCACAUUUCAAGUGGCGUAUGGGUACCGUACUGGACAGCUUGGCCUGGAGUCAUCGUGGCAGCCACAGAAGCAGAAGCAUGUCUGACUGUGUGAUGGAGCCAGCUUGCUUCUUCACAGUAAGCACCUGUCUGCCAGCUUCUGUUCCUAUGUUACUGUUCGGUUUGACUGUUACAAGAGGGCAGGGUCUCAGUCUAACCCCCCCCCCGCCCCGCCCUGCUAACACAUGCUGAAGUGCAGAAACUAUGAGUAAGCAGAGCGGAGAACAGAACAGGGCGGCAGACAGACCAAGGGAUGCUGGGAAGAGGGCCGGUCCCCAGGGUUGCCUUGGAUCCUUCUAGUUUUCCAGUUCCUGAUCCAUUUCCAGCUCCAGUGCACAGGCGGCCCUGCAACAAGCCUUCCACAACUGCAGGGACGUGAGUGUGUCCCUUCUCCUUGCAGCUCGGAGCCAGACCCAACAACCCCCUCCUUCUCCUGUCUGCACUGCCCAGUCUCCAGGGCUGCUACACCUGCAGCAUUGCCAGACUGGCAAAUAGCGGCUCUUCGUGGAAGGAAGCUUCCACUCCAUAUUCCCAAGAAUGUCAAGGAGAGGAGGAGAAAAGGCCAGUUUCUGGGUGGGCAGAUGUAGAACCUGAAGGCACACGAUCUGCGUGUCGCUGCUGGGAGACGGCGCUCUGGGAGACAGCAGCCAUGCUCUGGGCUUCUUUACAGCGAGAGCUUUUCCCUGAUGGGAGCUUAGAAGACUUAGGGGAAUUGCCUUCCGCAGAAGUGAGCCUUUAUUUUAUUUUAUUUUAUUUUUGACAGGCAGAGUGGACAGUGAGAGAGAGAGACAGAGAGAAAGGUCUUCCUUUUGCCGUUGGUUCACACUCCAAUGGCUGCCGCGCUGAUCUGAAGCCAGGAGCCAGGUGCUUUUCCUGGUCUCCCAUGCGGGUGCAGGGCCCAAGCACUUGGGCCAUCCUCCAGUGCACUCCCGGGCCACAGCAGAGAGCUGGCCUGGAAGAGGGGCAACCGGGACAGAAUCUGGUGCCCCGACCGGGACUAGAACCCGGUGUGCCGGCACCACAAGGCGGAGGAUUAGCCUACUGAGCCACAGUGCCGGCCAGAAGUGAGCCUUAAAACACAAUCAUGUGGGCCCGGCGCCGUGGCUCACUUGGUUAAUCCUCCACCUGCGGCGUCAGCAUCCCAUAUGGGUGCCGGGUUCUAGUCCUGGCUGCUCCUCAUCCAGUCCAGCUCUCUGCUGUGGCCCGGGAGGGCAGUGGAGGAUGGCCCAAGUGCUUGGGCCCUACACCCGCAUGGGAGACCAGGAAGAAGCACCUGGCUCCUGGCUUCGGAUCAGUGCAGCACCGGCCAUUACGGCCAUUUGUGGGAUGAACCAACGGAAGGAAGACCUUUCUCUGUCUCUCUCUCUCUCUCUCUCUCUCUCUCACUGUCUAUAACUCUACCUGUCAAAUUAAAAAUAAUAAUAAUAAAAAAGAACACGCUCACA
RNAcentral lists this long non-coding RNA (1783 nucleotides) under Oryctolagus cuniculus (rabbit). Its description in RNAcentral is "lncRNA (ENSOCUG00000033026.1)". Lineage: Eukaryota; Metazoa; Chordata; Mammalia; Lagomorpha; Leporidae. The record is from RNAcentral.